This 400-nucleotide ribosomal RNA is filed under the name uncultured bacterium. RNAcentral's name for it is "bacterial SSU rRNA". It matches the Rfam family "Bacterial small subunit ribosomal RNA", at positions 359 to 776 of the family's 1533-position model. The record is from RNAcentral.
GAAUCUUGCACAACGGGGGCAACCCUGAUGCAGCGACGCCGCGUGCGUGAUGAAGCCCUUCGGGGUGUAAAGCUCUUUCGACGGGAACGAUAAUGACGGUACCCGGAGAAGAAGCUGCGGCUAACUACGUGCCCGCAGCCGCGGUAAUACGUAGGCAGCGAGCGUUGUUCGGAGUUACUGGGCGUAAAGAGGGUGUAGGCGGUUGGCUAAGUCUGGUGUGAAAUCUCCCGGCUUAACUGGGAGGGUGCGCCGGAAACUGGCUGGCUAGAGUGUGGGAGAGGGAAGCGGAAUUCCUGGUGUAGCGGUGAAAUGCGUAGAUAUCAGGAGGAACACCGGUGGUGUAGACGGCUUCCUGGACCACAACUGACGCUGAGACACGAAAGCGUGGGGAGCAAACAGG